Molecule: long non-coding RNA, 2260 nt
Organism: Gasterosteus aculeatus aculeatus (three-spined stickleback)
Lineage: Eukaryota; Metazoa; Chordata; Actinopteri; Perciformes; Gasterosteidae
Source: Ensembl
CUAAGAGGAUCAUUGUUUCUCUCCAGUCUCUGGGUUGUUAUGGUUAAUUCUCAAAGAAGAAUAAGAAGAGAGAGCAAGUGUGUCUUUGGACAACAACUGAUUGAUGAAGUCAUUGAUUGACAGAUGAAGCUGGAAGACUGGGCCUUGGUUCUGCUGCUGAUUGGCUGCGUCUGUCUGCAGAGGGCGGACAGCAGUCUGCCCGACUUCACACCCGCAUCACCUCGGCUGCAGGUGGGACAGGUGGGUGCAGAUUAACAUGUGAUGCGAGGGUCAUCAAUACAAAAAACUCCAUGUUUAGGUUAAAAGACAACCAUCCAGGAGAUGUGGGAGACAUGAGGGACAUCAGGGGGCUGUUGAACAAAAGUAGAAUGAAGAAAUCCAGGAUAAGUGAAAAGGUGCAGCGUGACUUAGUUUGAUCUUCAUCGGUUGCACGUUUGCCGAGCCGGGAUGAGGAGGAGGAGCUUAGUCCAUCCAGAUGCACACAGCUGGGAUCAGUGCACGUUCACGGCUUUCUUAAGAAGACCACGGUGUCCAUCACAGAUCUACUGAUGCAGAAAUGGAGAAGACGCACACGGCGUAUUUUGAACCCGCUGAGCAGCAACUAAUUAUGGAAACUUAUGAGGAGGUGAAGCAUCUAAUAUGCAAAAAGGAAAAACGGAAGCUGUAAUUAAACAGAGAAAAAAUCCUGUCAGACAAUCGCGCUCAUCACCUUUACAAGUGUUCACUCCUCACUGCGCAGUUUCUCCCAUCAGAGACAGAGACCCCCCCUAUUUAGACCGGCCCGUGAAAUAUUGUCUAACAUGCAAACGGUCCGUGAGGGAAAGGUUGUGGACCACUGAUCUAAACAACUGCAAUAGUUUAAAAUCAACAAGUAAUGCAUGUUAAUGCAAAUAAAUCAGAACACAUUCAGGAGAAUAACUGUUAAACACGUUUAUUUGGGAUCGGCAGCUGAUUUAACACAUGAGGCUUCAGAAUCAAUCUUAAGCCCGGCUGUUAGCCCGGCUGUUAGCCCAGAUGUUAGCCCGGAUGUUGGCCCGGAUGUUAGCCCGGCUGUUAGCCCGGUUGGGUUGUUAGCCCGGUUGUUAGCCCGGAUGUUAGCCCGGAUGUUAGCCCAGCUGUUAGCCCGGAUGUUAGCCCGGCUGUUAGCCCGGUUGGGUUGUUAGCCCGGCUGUUAGCCCGGAUGUUAGCCCGGAUGUUAGCCCAGCUGUUAGCCCGGUUGUUAGCCCGGUUGGGCUCCCGGUUGUUAGCCCAGUUGUUAGCCCGGUUGUUAGCCCGGCUGUUAGCCCGGUCUGGAGCAGGCUAACUGCAAAAAAGAAAUCACCACGGUUACUUGGCUGCGUUUAAUUCAACCUGCUUUCGGGCAACCAAGUCAAAGCUAAAUUCAUCAGGAUAACGUGAAUAUCCCGGCUUAAUCCCUUAUCCUGGUUUCGCGCGGUAGGCCUCAGAACACCCAUUUAAUUAAACAAGAAGGUGCUUAUAAAUUCAGGCUCUUGUCAUUUAUGAAUAUUUUUUUAUUUGUAUACUCUUUAUGUUUAUUUCUGUUUGUCAGGUAGAGUCAGAUGUUGUCACUUCUCUGAAGAAGACGACGAAUAACAGACUUCGUCGACUUCCUGGACUGUGUCAACGCCUGAAGAGACGCAGGAUCACAGUCCUGGUAAACAAAGGGACAGUCUGUGAGACUAAAGACGUGACCUCUUUACCGUAAUUAUAUAGUACCCAUACUGUGAAAUGACUCCAACAGUAAAACUAGAAUACAGUAUAUUUCUGUAUUGUUUUAAUCUAAAUUUACUGAAAUGUAGUCUCUUUGAAAAUAUACAUUAGUGAGAACAUUUUGAAAAUCAAUCUGUUUGGUGCUGAGCACGAUAUGCAGAAUUGUUAAUGUUGUUAUGAACUUUUAAGAACCAUUAAGGGUCACAUUACGAAGGUCCUGUGUUCUAACCUUAUAAGUAAGAACAAAGACUGUUUGAUAAUAUAAUCAGCCAUACUAUGGAGUACAUAUUAAAGAGACGCGCAGUAGUUUUACCUACGGUUCACCUAUUAAGAGUUCAAUACCAAUACAGUUAACCCUACAAAUGACCACUUCCUUGAUCACAGUAAAGCAGUGCAUUGUUUCAUUUUUUAAUUGUUUUAUGUACACAUUGUAUGCAAGAGAGACAUGAGUAAAAACAAUGCAAACUUCUAAUUAAAUGCUCUUGGUCAUUACUUACUAACAAACAUUUUAGGAUCAAUGUGAGCACAUACAGUAUACUAUAUAUAUAUA